Non-coding RNA from Vicugna pacos (alpaca), 1387 nucleotides. The record is from RefSeq and is a predicted model, not a curated record. NCBI's taxonomy places the organism in Eukaryota, Metazoa, Chordata, Mammalia, Artiodactyla, Camelidae.
UCACAAGUGAACGCAGCCGAGAUUUCCUCGAACCUCCAGCGACUGGGGGCGCUGUACUAAUGCCUGAGGGCCAGUCCGGGCUGCUUCCUUUCGCGGUUUCCACUGGAGGACUUGGGAAGGGGGUAGUCUGAGACGGCGAGUCCAACCCCAGUAACUGGCCUUUCAGAAACACUGAUGGGAACACAAUGGUUAAUAAAAUCCUUUGUUAAUGACUGACCAUCAAACACGAUACCUUGGCCAGACCUAAAGUCACAAGGGAUUGCUAAGUUAUGUUUUAUGUGUGUCAUGCAUAUGCAUCAUAGAGUUGGACUAUACUUUCUGAUAAUCUCUACCAUUUUAUAGGUGGUUCUGGAGGCCCCUUCUCCGAUUGAGCACAAGGUUCUGCCUUGAAAGAGAACAAAGGUGCGGGCUGCAGAGCACUUCUGGAGGCUGACAUGGCUGUAAAAUGACUCCAUUUCCAGAUGAACCAACUGGGCUCCUGUUUCUCUUGGACAAAGUCUUGGUACAUUCCUUUGUUCUGCCUAAUCCCAUGGACCAAAUACUCAGGUGAAAACAUUUUUAGGAAUAGUCUGAAAUGAGGAUAAUAACCAUUUACUUUUACCACACUCCACUUUUCCAGGAAAGAUAUUUCUUCUUUAACUGAUGCUUAUUAAGAACAUUCCAUACUUGCUUCUUCCUCCAAAUCAAAUGUUGAACUAAAAAAUAUUAAAAUCAGUUUGCAUGGAUUCGCAAAGUAAAAACCUGUGGGCUAAAUCUUCUAUAGGAUUACUUAAAACAGAUAGAAAUGUGAAUGAGUGUAAUCGCGAGCUGAAUAAUGACCUCUUUUUAAAAGGUUAAAGCAUUUAUGUUUGCAGCGCCUCCCCUGAGUUUGUAGCCACAACCCUUGAGGUGGUCUGUAGUGACAUUAUUCAUUUGAAGUGGGACAAGCUAUUUUAAAAAGGCAUAUUUAAAAUCACAUUCAAUACAUUGAAUCUAUGUUGAAAAAUUAUUAAUCAUUUAAAAUAGUAAGAGCUUGAUUAGCUAGAAACAUUAGUUAACCUGAAAUGCAUUUGUCACACUCUGUGGUUCGGUAGGACAGACGUUACAGAGAGCUGGUGAGGAUAGUGACAAUAUCAAAAGCAACUUCCAGAGGAAAAGUUUUCUUCAACAAAGAGUAUGCCCUCUUUGGCUCAUAAAAAAUAUAUGAUUGAACUCUCCAAAGUUUUAACCCAGUGAGCAUGACUGAAGUAAUUUUGGCCAAGAAAAAUCUCAAUAAUGCUCCCAUAGAAUAUUUCUUUUUUUAAACAAAAUAGCUUUCUGAUGAACUCACCAUGUAAUUCAAGUUACUAUGUGGAUGAAUGUUUUGUUUGGAACUAAGAUACAGGAGUCAAUUAUCUUUUGGAGGACA